CAGGGAGACAACAAAAUGUUUAAUAUUAUUAUUUUGUCACCUUAGGUCGAUCGGUACCUUACAUUCUUAAUUUAUUGAGGAUUUCAUUUCCUAAGUUUUUUCUAGGUCACACCCAUUAUUUUUCCUGGGCCAUUAGCUCAGGUGGUUAGAGCGCACCCCUGAUAAGGGUGAGGUCCCUGGUUCAAGUCCAGGAUGGCCCAUAUCUCUAUGUUGGGGGUAUAGCUCAGUUGGUAGAGCGCCUGCUUUGCAAGCAGGAUGUCAGCGGUUCGAGUCCGCUUACCUCCACUGAUUACCACCUCUUAACAUAAUUUGAUGAAGGAAAUGUUUUGAGUUGUGAUCAAAUUCUGAACGAUUCUAGCUUCCUAAUGAAAUCAUUAAGAUGCUGGACUCAUUGAAUUAAUUUCAUUGUUUUCAGAGAACCUUGACAACUGCAUAGAUUAUUUUUUAAAGACAAUAAGCAUCUUUAAUGAUGCAGAUUUAUUAUUUGUGCGAAUGCAUUAAAUAACAAUUCUAUUAAGCUGAUGCUUCAAUUAUUGAAGUUAUU
This 544-nucleotide transfer RNA is filed under the name uncultured Prochlorococcus sp. Its description in RNAcentral is "partial 16S-23S ribosomal RNA intergenic spacer". The stretch from base 213 to 285 matches the Rfam family "tRNA". Lineage: Bacteria; Bacillati; Cyanobacteriota; Cyanophyceae; Synechococcales; Prochlorococcaceae. The record is from RNAcentral.